RNAcentral lists this ribosomal RNA (377 nucleotides) under uncultured Oligoflexia bacterium. Its description in RNAcentral is "bacterial SSU rRNA". It matches the Rfam family "Bacterial small subunit ribosomal RNA", at positions 523 to 898 of the family's 1533-position model. The record is from RNAcentral. Lineage: Bacteria; Pseudomonadati; Bdellovibrionota; Oligoflexia.
AUACGGAAGGUGCAAGCAUUGUUCGGAUUGACUGGGCGUAAAGAGCACGUAGGUGGGUUUAUAAGUCGGAUGUGAAAUCCCUGGGCUCAACCUGGGAACUGCAUUCGAAACUGUAGAUCUUGAAUGUUUGAGAGGCUGGCGGAAUUCCAGGUGUAGGAGUGAAAUCCGUAGAUAUCUGGAGGGACACCGGAGGCGAAGGCGGCUGGCUAACAAUACAUUGACACUGAGGUGCGAAAGCGUGGGUAGCAAACAGGAUUAGAUACCCUGGUAGUCCACGCCGUAAACGAUGGAUACUAGGCGUUCGGGAUGUUAAUUUCCUGAGUGCUGAAGCUAACGCAUUAAGUAUCCCGCCUGGGGAGUACGGUCGCAAGGCUAAA